Long non-coding RNA from Papaver somniferum (opium poppy), 2760 nucleotides. RefSeq lists it as uncharacterized. Lineage: Eukaryota; Viridiplantae; Streptophyta; Magnoliopsida; Ranunculales; Papaveraceae. The transcript has 2 exons. The record is from RefSeq and is a predicted model, not a curated record.
CUGAGAGUUAGAGGCGAGGAAAGAGAGGCAGAGAUGGCUGUCUGAAACCAUUCCCCUCUUUAUCGAGUAAUGACAGAUUGUUGGGAGAUAAUUGGAAGAAGAUGAUGGUAGAAUUGAUAAGGGUUUGGAUGAAAUUUUGAUACCGAUUGAAAUCAGAGUUGAAUCGUAAAAUACGCUGAUGCUGUUGGUUCUUGUCUUGCAGAAACACAUAGGUUUUGUUGUUCAUGAUUGUGAACUGAUGGUGCUGAUUGAACCCAGAAAUGGAGGAGAUUGAGACAGCUUAUGAGUUGUGCUAGGGUUAAUGGAAGAAUGGGUUUUGAAAUCAAAAAGAGAAGAAUUGCUGCUAUCGUCCAGGGUAAUUGAAGAGCAGAUUUAAGGCUUGUGAAUAUGAGAUGGGUAUUUCGGAUUAUCGGUUUUGAUGGUGGUACUGGUAGAAGCUAAUGGCCUUGGAUUGUGUGAAAUUACAGAAGAACAAAGAAUUGAUGGCAACUGGAUGUUUACUGAGAUGACUCUGGUGGCAUUGGACUGGGAAUGGUUUGAGAUUACAGCUGAGUUUAGAUAGUGAGCUGUAUUGCAAAAAAUGGUCGGUGGUUGGUGUUAUAUGUAAAGCUAUAAGAAAUUGAAGCUGUUGCAGGUGACUAUGGAGAAUGGUAAUGAAACUGUGGCCUAUGAACAGGUGUUUGAAGCUGCAGAAAUUGGUUGUGCAGGCAUGAUGAUACAGGCGCUGCUGCCUUGAGCUAGCAUAGCCAUGAUCUUGAGGUUGAGGCAGUGGUUAGGGUUCUGGAUGGAACUGAUGCUGCAGGUAAUUGGGUGAAUGAGGUGGAAACUGAUUCGAAUUCGAUAUAAGAAGAUGGGUCUUUGGUGAUACAAGAAAUAAGUUCAAGGCUAGGAGCAUGGAAGAUGGCUGUGUUUGAAGUUGUUGUUGGAGGAAAUUGCAGUUGGUGAUAAUGUUGUGGAUAAAUGGCUAAAGUACUGAGCUGCUAAUGGUUGUGACAAUAUCGCAUAAGAAGUGUUGCUACAGAUGAAUUUAAUUGGUGGUGUUGACUAUUGCCAUCAGUUGAGAACAACAACAGCAAGGUUUGAAGAGUGAGGUUGUACACAACAGAACUGGUGGUGCUGUUGUUGGUUAUGGAGGCAGUAAAGAAGCUGAGAGGAACAAGGAAGAGAAUGGGUUAAUGCAGUCUUGCAUUCGAGCAAUGGUUGAGCUGAGUUGCUGCAGAUGGGAAUGGCAUGAAGCUGAAGCUUGGGUUCUCGGUGGAGUAAAUGUUGGCAGCAAGAUGGAGUUGAAAUUGCAAUUGUAGGAGUUCAAUGGUGGUUCAGAAUGGGUUGGUGUUGAUUGUGUAUGAUUCAAGUUGCAGCUGAAGUGCAGUCUGGUGGUUGAUUGGUCUGUGAGACAGAGAAGUGAAGGCUUAUGAUGGUUACAGUGCUGGCAAGGAGGAACUCGGGGGAGGUGCUUGAGCUGCAAUCAGAAAUGGAAGUGUUAAGUGGUGAAACAAAUUGCAAUGGCCUGAGUUAGUAAGAAUGAUGCUCAUGGAGGAGCAAGGUUUGUUGCUUCAGUUGCGGCAGAAGUUCAAAUUGGUGGUGUUGCCAAUAUGGAGGGAGAGAAUAAAAUGGUGCAGUGAAGCUGGAGUUGCAGCUGCAGUUGGAGAACAAAAGAUUGUGGGCUGCUAUAGAGUGGUGUGUCGUAUGGGUGGCUCUGCAUUGGUUUACUGGGAUUUGUUUGAGCUACAGAUGGUGCACAAAUGCUUGAUUAAAUUUUGCAUGAAUGAAUGAUUGUAAAGUGCAGGAAAGGACCAAGAAAAUGGCUGGAAAUACCUAGAAAUCAAAGGGAACUCUGCGGGAAUUUCAUUCUGCCGAGUUCACUCAGUGAUCCAGGUACCUGACUCACCGAUCCAUUGGUUUACUCAGAUGACUUGGGCUCUUAUAUGUGGGUUGUUUCAAGGAGUAACUUUUGGCAGAAGGGUGCGACCUAAAUUUGGACUUAGAAAUCGAUAAGGCAGAGAAACUAUAAAGACAGAGAAAGAAAAUUGUGAAGUAACCAAAAACGGAGGCUCGUCGAAUGCUACUAGAACAAAAGAAACUCCAGCUGGGGGAAAGACAAGAAUGACUGGAAGUGACCACUUUCCCGGGAAGGAUAUCCGGGAUCUCCAAAAGAAACUGGACGCACACAUUAUAUGACAUCACGAACUCUGGACAAUGAUCGCACAAAUGCAAGAACAAAUAUAUGCGAAGAACUCGUAUAAGGAAGUUGUGGCUCUACGCUAUGACUGGUUGUGUUCACCGUAAAGGGACACUUCCAUCAUGCGUCUGAGAAUAUGCCAUCACCAAGUUCCUAGAAGCUCAUUACCGCAUGACCAAACAAGACAUCCAGGAAUUUGUGGAGCAACCGUACCCAUCAGAAGUGACAGAUUAGCUACCUAUUCCUAAAGGAUUACACAUCUUAGUACCCAUCGGAACCUUGUACAAACUACCCAUUCCCAGAGGAUUGCACGAGCUAGCACCAGACUAAGAUAAAGGGGCUAGACCGCUAGAGGCAUGAUGCCUCCAUUAAAUCAGAUUGAAGAUUUUAAUCUCAGAGACGUAUUCACCAUGUUCAGAUCUGUCGAUCAGUGGUAAACAUUAUAACAGAAAAGAAAUUUUAAACUCUAGAUCUAGAAUCUUCUAGAUUCAUAAUGUUUUCUUGUUUUGAAAUCUUACUUGUUUCAUGAAAUUUUAAGAGUUGAAAUAUCAGAUAUAGAAUAAAUAGAUGUUUUGAUGAAA